Molecule: ribosomal RNA, 460 nt
Filed under: uncultured bacterium
Lineage: Bacteria
Description: partial 16S ribosomal RNA
Rfam family: Bacterial small subunit ribosomal RNA
Source: RNAcentral
CCUACGGGUGGCAGCAGUGAGGAAUAUUGGUCAAUGGACGAGAGUCUGAACCAGCCAAGUAGCGUGAAGGAUGACUGCCCUAUGGGUUGUAAACUUCUUUUAUAUGGGAAUAAAAUGUUCCACGUGUGGGAUUUUGUAUGUACCAUAUGAAUAAGGAUCGGCUAACUCCGUGCCAGCAGCCGCGGUAAUACGGAGGAACCGAGCGUUAUCCGGAUUUAUUGGGUUUAAAGGGAGCGUAGGUGGAUUGUUAAGUCAGUUGUGAAAGUUUGCGGCUCAACCGUAAAAUUGCAGUUGAAACUGGCAGUCUUGAGGACAGUAGAGGUGGGCGGAAUUCGUGGUGUAGCGGUGAAAUGCUUAGAUAUCACGAAGAACUCCGAUUGCGAAGGCAGUUCACUGGACUGCAACUGACACUGAGGCUCGAAAGUGUGGGUAUCAAACAGGAUUAGAUACCCUAGUAGUC